GAGCUCCCAUGUUGAAUUUGCUCAUUAGCUAUUCCCCACCUCCACCCCCUCCAACCUUUGGCAAAAACUACUUCUUGGUUAACAUUUGAGAGAUUUCAAUAAAAGUUUUAAUUAGAGCAAAACUGAUCUCAAGCAGACUGCAGCGUUUUGUUUUCACGGUGAUGCGAUGCUGGAGCUAAGGUGUUAUCUCUGACUGAGAUUCUGGGCGAGCUGGGCGCGGGACACUAAGCCUCCGUGAUGUGGGAGAAGGAUGCAGGGCAGCGCAGGGAGACCCGGUCCCGUGUCUUUUCCUGGGCUCCUGAACCCUCAACAGUUGCCUGUUCGAAGAUUCUCGUUCUAGCAUCCAUUUGUGACACAUCUGCCAGGAGGUCUCGCUCCAGCGGGGAUGGAUGUGUUUUUUCCAGUCUGUCUGAUCCAGAAGGAGGAGGACCCAGGAGAGACAGGAACUGUCACAGAAAAGGAGCUACGUCAUAUUUCUGCUUCUCUCCAGCUUCCGUCUGUGGUCUGGUGCCAACAUCCUCUCCAGUGAAGGUGCUUAUUUUCAACAUCCAAUCCUUUUUUUUUUUUAAAGAAUAACUGGAUGAGGUGAUAGGACUGUAAGCCUCAGCGCUGCCUUGUCACUUUUAGAGACGGAAGAACAGCUCGGUGCAACAUCUGAAAAAACGUGCAUCCUGCUUACUUUCACUGUCAUUGGUAGUUGGCAAUGAUUCAAUAUAUUAUGUGAGUCACUAGGAGCAGGAGAUGAAGGUUUCGCUCAUGAGUUUUAGGAAACUUAUAACUCUGAAGAGAACUGACAAAUGUUCCUCUCACCUCCUCUUCCCACACCUCAGCUUUUUAAGUCUAGGUUCAUUUUUGCCUUUAGUCUGGUUGCUGAUGGGGCUGAGAGAAAGUCAAUAGAAUGAAAUGUCCUUGCUCCAUUCUAGAAACAAUACUGUUUACCCCGACCAGAGUCACAGGGUUGCGUCAGAACCUUUGGCAGGUAACGAGAGCCGAGAGCCAGUCCUGACUACCUGCUUCAUCCUCAGAGGCCUCGUCUACCCUGAGUAACAGCAGGGCUGCUCUGUGGCUUCUGACUGCAACACAUCACCUGCACGAAAACACAAGGUUUUAAAAUCAUGACCCAGACUUCGGGCAAGACAGCCCCCUUGGGAGAGCCUUGCGACUCGGAAAAAUUUAAAGGUUAAACUGCAAACAAAUGGAUCGUGGGAGAAAGGGAAGAGAGAUCCCAGCGGAGAGGUAGCCCUAGGAUGGGGCGUGGGUGACCUACCUGCACCCCCACCCCCACAUGCAGGCAGUCACUCAGCAGCACUGAGCAGCUUCGGAGAACUGCGUUUGUAAACUUUCUUUUAGAAGCAAAUCUCAUUAAGCAUCUCCUCGGUCAUUGAGUCCAUCCAUAGAGAAUAAAGAAGACACAAGGACCCUGAGAGGAGGCAUCCUGAGGGAGGCUGGGGGCAGAUGUGAGUGUGGACGGAGCGCCGGUGGCGGGGCAGCCAAGCUUCCCACACAGGCAGGACUCUGGAUGUUCCGCUUCUCCCUCCUGCCCAGAGGGCAGUAGCCAGCGCUGUGACAGGGCCCAGGGCCCUAGUGGGACUGGGAACAAAGCCCAGUCCCUCACUAGCCAACCAGCCCCUCCGAGGUAAGGGAGGGGGCUGGGAGACCAGGCACUGCUUCGCCUCUGUUCUUAACCCUGACCUUGUUCUCGAAGCCUGGCUUUCCCAAACAUGGACUGUCUGCCUGCAGCCCAGGGCUCGCGCCUCUCCAGGAGACCAGGACUUUGAAGGACUAUGGCCUUGCCUUGGAAGCUAUUCAGCUCAAGGCUUUGAAUUGUUUUCAGGCCUAAAUGAGACUAUUAAUCCUCUGACAUUUACCUUUCUCGAUAAACCUGCAGCUCUAUGAAGGUCAGAGUGUGAGGAGAAACCACCCCUUCAUUUUUCAUUGCCCAAAGGCACCAGCCUUGUCUGAGUCCCUAUUUUGUUUGGCUUUCUGGUCACCUGGAAGCAUCUGGCUGGACUCCCAUAGGAGACGGGGGCAGGCAGGGCAGGCAGCCUGCUGUGAGCACAGGCCCCCUUUCCUUCCCCAGCCCCCUCCCUCCCCACCUUUUUCCCACCAGCCUCACUGGGCCAGACCUGGCCUGGGACUUGAGCAGGCUGGGACUGGGCAGACACAGGCUCUGCCAUUUACAAGCUGUGUGACCUUGACUGAACAAGCACUUCCCUAACCUAAAGGGGGGGCUAAUAAUCCCUCAUGUAAAAUGCUUAAAAGUGCCUGGCAUACAGUGAGGCCUAUUAGUGUGUUAGCCUUUUAAGGAACAUUUGUAUCUUCAAAGAGAAGAAAGCCUGGGACUAGCUACCCACAAGGCUGAGACAGUUCAAACACGAAGAGCAUCUGGCACGUCUUGACAUUAAUGGGGCUGCAGAGUCCUCACAGCUGGACCCAAAUCAAGGGCUGAAAAGACUGAGUGAGGAGCAGGUGAGCAAGGUGAGGCGUCAAAGGACAUCACUGAGUAACGGCACCUGCCUGGCCCCUGGCAGCGUGGGCUCUGCAGCCUGUGUCAGUGCUGGGCGAACAUGUCACCUGUAGGAAGUUUCCCCCACAGCCAGGCCCGGAUAUGCCUCUCAGAAGAAAACCAGUCCCCGGCAGGAAAUAGAUCAAGAGUGGAAAACAGCUGAAUUCCCAGAGAGACCAAGGGGUUCAAGUGUGUUGUCCCUGAAUUCUCCAGCUGCCAGUGACCCAGCCUCUUCCCCUCUGGGCCUUCUAGCUCCUUCUUCCGCUAGGAUCCUGCCGUUUCCAGGCAGUGGGGUUCCAUUUUGUGCUUGGGGGGAGGGUGGAGAGAGAUUAUUCUCUUCAUAGUCCUGUGGCCGAACCGCAGGGGAGCCAGCGCCCCACCAAGCAAACACUCCCUUUUUACCUUCUCUGUCCCACCAGUCCUGUCCCUUCCCCUUCCCUCCUCUGCUCUUUGGUAUUUGGAGAGCUAAGGAGCCUCUUAAUAAGGCCAAGACACAAACCUUAGCCCUGCCCUCACUAGGCCUCUCAGAAGCUGCCCCAAACCAUUGUUACAGAGUUGUUGGGGAUAAUUGUUCCUCUGAAAGCCAGAGCUGUGGUGCCCAUCCUGGGCAACUUUCAGCUGCAGCCCCGGGUCAAACUCACCAACCAUUGCUGAACCUGAGGAACAGCUUGGGGGAAGGGGGGAGACCACUGCAGGACCGCCUUCAUUUAGUGCCCUGUGUUUUCCGGGUUUCUGAACCUUGUUCCACUUUCUUCUGUGAAUGGCUAAACUCUCUAGAUCCUUCAUCUGCCCUCUGGUUGACAGGAUGGUGCAGAGGGCCUGGCACAUGAUCAGACUCUGUAUUUGAAAUCGAACAGGCUGGUUUUAAUGACAAUUUCCGUCCAUUCUGCUGACUCCAGAAUCUUAGGCAAAUUUUCAGUAACCUCACAGAGCUUCAGUUUCCUCAUCUGUAAGGAGGAAGAAUGAACUCUUUUCACGGGCUGGUUUGAGGGCAAGAAUGAAAUGCUUGGCCUAGAGUAGUAAUUACUAUUAAAACAGCUCUGCUGUUUCCUCUUUUGGGGUCACAACUUCCUUGGGCAUGGCCCAAAGCUCCCCCUUUGCAGCUUAACAAGCAGUCAGGAUGCAGGGACUCGGGACUGGUUACCCGCCAAGAGAAAAAGGGUCCAGGCUUUAUUCUUUGGUAAAGAAGAGAAGCAGCUGGCGCCAGGGCAAGAAGGCAGCUUGUGGCUGCGGUGCAUGCGCCGACGUGAGGCUCAGGUUGGGCCUGCUGGCCGUCCACCCAGGGUUUGGAGCCUCCUUGGGUAAGAAGAGGCACCCAGAUACCAUCCACAAAUGUGUGAAUCCCAGCUGCUUCAGAAACAAAAUCAAGGCGACGAAGAAACUUUGGAAUCAUAAAAGGUAGCCUCCGUAACAAGAAAGUGAACUCCUUGAAGAAAACCAGUUGUGACAGGUAAAAAGGAAAACCAGCUCCAAAUGGGAUCAUGUUUUAUUCAGGAUUUGUGCUGCCGGUGGGGAAGGCCAGAACUCGGUGUCAGGAUGGGAAAGUGGGACGCCCCAACUUCAAGACUCCAUCCACUCGGCCACGAAGUGCUUCUCACUUCACUGAGCUCAGCUCCUGGGACCUCUAAUGGCCCUUGAUAGCAAACAUAGUUAAAAAUUAACCGACUGACAGAAUUAAAUAUGGAUGACAAGCAGCCACUGUGGACUUAAUCUGACACAGGGUGUUACACGCCUGGGUGCCCUUGACCCGAGCCGCAUCUUGAGUGAACUUGUGGGAUGUCUGAGCACAUUUCACAUGCCUGUUUGGAAGCAAGAGCCUCAUUUGUGCUUCGGACAGACAGAGUCUAAAAGCCCCAGAGAGAAAAUUAUCCCUGCAGGCUCAUGUUUAAUUAAGUCCAGCUUGAUUGGGCUUAGCUGGAGAUGUUCACAGUCCUGGGCUCAGCCUUUAGCACGGUCCCACCACUGUUCAGCCUGGGAGAUCGUGUGAGGUCAUGGGGCUGGGCUGGGCUACCUGGGCCAGGAUGUUCUUGCUCAGGUGGCUCAGGUGUCAGACUUAACCUUUGGGCCAGUUCACAUAAAUCCUGACUUUUUGUGUGGAUAAUGGCAGCCAGCUUGUUCAGUUGCCCUGGGCCAGAAAUAGUAGGUGCUAGGAAAGAAUGCUGAUUGCAGUCUGUGCCCUCCAGGUCUGCUCAGAAAGAGUCUGUGGGGAUGGAUGUUCCUUAAAGAGUGCGCCUCUUGAGGUAGAGAAGGACCUGGAAAGUGUUCUGGGUUUGGUGAGUGCUUUAUUAGCAAUGGGGAGGGUUGCUAUUUAAAAGAAUUCCUAAAAUUAGUUCCAUAGACAGGAUCAUCUUUUUUGAAUUGCCGAUCAUCACUCCAGUCCAUCUGGUGAGUUUGGAUUUUCUUAGGCCAAAGGAUGCUUCUGGCUUGGUAGCCUCUCUCAGCCUGGCCACCUGCAACAAAGUUUGCUGAGGCACUUGACGUGCUUUAUUUGGUGGUGCUGCUCAAGAGCAGACCCUUAGAUUUGGAGGCAGUGGGGCAGGCUUGAUUAUUAUUAAAUAAUAUGGUGGCCAUUAGCUCAAUCCUGGAAAAGGUCUGGCAGGGCAUUCAGGCCUCCUUCUUGGGGACAGUGGUAGAAACCUACCUAAGAACAUCCAGGUCUUAAAGGAGGCUGCAGGGGGAGUUCCCAUGGUGGCUCUGUGAGAAUGCGGGUUUGAUCCCUGGCUUCUCUCAGUGGGUUAAGGAUCCAGCAUUGCCACCAGCUGCAUUGUAGUUUGCAGAUGUGGCUCAGAUCUGGUGUUGCUGUGGCGAAGGCCAGCAGCUGCAGCUCCAAUUAGACUGCUAGCCUGGGAACUUCCAUGUGCCGUGGGUGCAGCUGCAAAAAGAGAAAAGCAAAAGGAGAGAGAGUUUGGUUCGAAGUAUGGUGCUGGGAAAUCUGCAUUCAGGUACAGUACCUGCAGGCGGCAGGGUAGAAAAUCUUCACUGCUCCUUACAGAUUAAACAUCCAGGGUGCUGGCUGGUCCGGUGAUCUUCCAGCUCUAAUUAGUUUUGUUAAAAGCUGAGAACUUGGAUGCCCUGCCUCAGCCUUCUGGAUCCUCCAUAUGUCCUCACCAGAAGCGCCCUUCCAGACCAGCAUUUCUCAACAGCCACAGGCACUAAUAGCUCUUAUGCGAUAACACAGAUUCUGGAGUUCCCGUUGUGGCUCAGCGGUAAUGAACCCAACUCACAUCCAUGAGGAUGUGGGCUUGAUCCCUGGCCUUGCACAGUGGGUUAAGGAUCCAGCGUUGCCAUGAACUGUGGUGUAGGUCACAGACUUGGCUUGGAUCCCACAUGGUCGUUGCUGUGGGAAGAAAAUAGCUGAACCAAUGGAUGUUUAUUAAUAGUAUCUCCAUGUCCUGAGGCAGCCACCUGGUAAGCACUUCUCAUGACUGUUUCUAAAAGCAGUUGGAUGAUGGGAGUUGUCGCUGGCAAGGGGGUAGUACCAUGCAAAUUACUACUCUUGGAGCUUUCCCCUGUACUCCUCACAGACCAUUGUAGAAGGACUAGUGAUCAGACAGGGCUUCCUCCCUGGAGUGCAUUCAGUGUCUUCCUGUCCUUGGCCCUGCUACUAGGGAUGUGAAGUUAAUAGGUAUUUUAACCCUCUGGGCCUUGGUUUCCUCAUCGGUAAAUGGAAGAGGGUGGAAAUUAUCUGUAUGGGUACCUACUCCUUUUUCUAACAUUCCACUUCACUUCUGUUCUGAGUGAUUUCUUUUCCUGGCUGCUCUCCUCCUGUUCCAUCUGUCACCAGUCAUCGGAGCUGGUACCAUGCUAAGGUGUUGGAGACUUCAGGCUUAACACUGUGGGGCCACUGCAUCUGAAAGGAAUAUUCCUGAAGAAGUGGGACGGUGGGUCUCAAACAGUGCCCUUGGCUAGUGAGUUGUAGCAGUAAUAGCUGUCAGCAUCUCAUCCUCGUGGAGAAGCAUCCCAGUCUCUUCCAUGUUGCUUAUUCAUGCUUUUGUCACAAAUCUGUGUGGCGAGCUUAGCAGUCUCUGGACACAGUCAAUGUCUGUAUGUAUGAGUUUGGAUCAUAUAUAUUAUGUUAGAGGUUCUAGCAGGGACUUCAGAAGCCUCCAGAAGUGCUUGCAAGGUUGUGAUCAUGCAGGUGUGUGUGUGGUGUGUGUGUCGAGCACACGUGGGUUAUUCCGCAGACGGGACCAUUGCCUUACAAGGAAGGCCAGCCACGUAGAUUUCAUCCCUGCCAAAUUGUCCCUGGAGCCAGAGUCCGACAAUCGCGGGUUUCCUCGGUGUUUAGGACACAGCUCAAGCAGCCCCUAGGCAGUGGGCAGGAGUGGCCACGAGUGACCCGAGGCCAAAAUCCACCACGGAACAGGCAGUCUGAGCGGGUGUAAGGCUGAACCUCGUUUCUCUUAGAGGGCAGCAGUUAUGAGACCAGAAGGGCUUGUUCCCCAGGGCGGGCCGCCGGCUCAGGUUUUGCCCCCUGAGCUCUGGGUCUCUGUCCCCUGCACAUGCGUAGGAACAUAGCGCACUAGGCCGCCUGCUUUCCGCAGGGAGGUGGGCGUGGCUGUGUCUUGUGAGCUGGACCCAGGCGGCCUAGGGUGGCUGUGGCAGGCAGCAGGCACAGAAGUGUCCAAGCCAGGCGGCACAAGAGGGAUGGGUUUCGGGGUCUGACUUUACUCCGUUGCCACCACAUCCUUCUUGAGCAUCAGCCAGCCAGCCGGCUUGCAUUCACCCGGAGGUCACCCCGAGGCACAGGUCCCCCUCCCUCCCCCAGGCAGGGGCACCCAGGAAGGAGUGAGGACUGUGUGUGAGUGGACCAGGCCAGAGAGGCUGGAGCAGAUGCGCGGGAGACAAGGGCUUCCUUCUUGCAGUCACUGCACCGAAACAACCAUGGCAUCCACUCCGCGGCUCUCCUCUCCCCGUGUCUCCUCUGAAACACCAAGUGUCUUGGCCUCCUUGGGCUCAGCGCCCCAGCCCCACACCUAGGCAGCACCAGCCGCACCACCGCGCUCCCCCUACCCUGGUGCACACGCACCCAUCCCCCCCUCCACUGUGUGUUUAGGUUCCCAGCCCCCCACCUGCCACAGGGCCGUGCCCCCGCCCUCUCCUUUCCCACCUGUCUCAGGAAGGCAGCUCCAACUCUGCCCUUUGCUUAGUGAGCUCGUGGAUUCAGAUGCACAAGGCCAUAAGCCGGGGAUGCGCUGGCUCCCUCCGUCCGAGGCUACUUCUCAGGGCUGGAAGUCCCGUCAGUUCUGCUGAAUACUGUGUUCCAGGUGUGUGAUGGUGGCUGCAAUCUGUCUUGUGGGUAUUAACUCGAUCUUCAAGUGGCUACUGUUCUUGAGCUGUUCUACAAAACUGGAGCGUGCUGGCUUGAAAAAACCUUGCCCAGUUUUGACCCCUUCAAGACUUUGCCACAGCCUCUAUCACACAUCUGUUUUUCUCGAAGAAAAAAUAUAAUAAAAAGUUUUACUCUUUUACACUGUAUAAUUGUAAGAAAUAGUGUGUUAUUUGUGAACGCAUGGUCUGACAUACAUUUCUGUACAGUUUGGAGAUAUUUUCAAAUGAAACAUAAAAGAUGUCAA
RNAcentral lists this long non-coding RNA (8082 nucleotides) under Sus scrofa (pig). RNAcentral describes it as "lncRNA (ENSSSCG00065055329.1)". Lineage: Eukaryota; Metazoa; Chordata; Mammalia; Artiodactyla; Suidae. The record is from RNAcentral.